AGCCCGAUGGUGUAACGGCAGCACAGCGGAUUUUGAUUCCGCCAGUUUGGGUUCAAAUCCCGGUCGGGCUA
Molecule: transfer RNA, 71 nt
Filed under: Planctomycetaceae bacterium
Lineage: Bacteria; Pseudomonadati; Planctomycetota; Planctomycetia; Planctomycetales; Planctomycetaceae
Description: tRNA-Gln
Rfam family: tRNA
About the family: Transfer RNA (tRNA) molecules are approximately 80 nucleotides in length. Their secondary structure includes four short double-helical elements and three loops (D, anti-codon, and T loops).
Source: RNAcentral